ACACGGUCCUACCUCCUAACGGGGAGGGCAGCAGUGGGGAAAUAUUGCCAAAGGGGGGGAAACCCUGAUGCAGCCAUUCCCGCGUGUGUGAAGAAGGCCUUCGGGUUGUAAAGCACUUUCAGCGAGGAGGAAAGGUUGAUGCCUAAUAUGUAUCAACUGUGACGUUACUCGCAGAAGAAGCACCGGCUAACUCCGUGCCAGCAGCCGCGGUAAUACGGAGGGUGCAAGCGUUAAUCGGAAUUACUGGGCGUAAAGCGCACGCAGGCGGUUGGAUAAGUUAGAUGUGAAAGCCCCGGGCUCAACCUGGGAAUUGCAUUUAAAACUGUCCAGCUAGAGUCUUGUAGAGGGGGGUAGAAUUCCAGGUGUAGCGGUGAAAUGCGUAGAGAUCUGGAGGAAUACCGGUGGCGAAGGCGGCCCCCUGGACAAAGACUGACGCUCAGGUGCGAAAGCGUGGGGAGCAAACAGG
RNAcentral lists this ribosomal RNA (466 nucleotides) under uncultured Aeromonadaceae bacterium. Its description in RNAcentral is "bacterial SSU rRNA". It matches the Rfam family "Bacterial small subunit ribosomal RNA", at positions 324 to 776 of the family's 1533-position model. The record is from RNAcentral. Lineage: Bacteria; Pseudomonadati; Pseudomonadota; Gammaproteobacteria; Aeromonadales; Aeromonadaceae.